Molecule: ribosomal RNA, 449 nt
Filed under: uncultured bacterium
Lineage: Bacteria
Description: partial 16S ribosomal RNA
Rfam family: Bacterial small subunit ribosomal RNA
Source: RNAcentral
AACGAACGCUGGCGGCAUGCUUAACACAUGCAAGUCGAACGAGACCUUCGGGUCUAGUGGCGCACGGGUGCGUAACGCGUGGGAAUCUGCCCUUUGCUACGGAAUAACUCGGAGAAAUUUGUGCUAAUACCGUAUGAUGUCGCGAGACCAAAGAUUUAUCGGCAAAGGAUGGGUCCGCGUAGGAUUAGCUAGUUGGUGUGGUAAAGGCGCACCAAGGCGACGAUCCUUAGCUGGUCUGAGAGGCUGAUCGGCCACACUGGGACUGAGACACGGACCAGACUCCUACGGGAGGCAGCAGUGGGGAAUAUUGGACAAUGGGCGGAAGCCUGAUCCAGCAAUGCCGCGUGAGUGAUGAAGGCCUUAGGGUUGUAAAGCUCUUUUACCAGGGAUGAUAAUGACAGUACCUGGAGAAUAAGCUCCGGCUAACUCCGUGCCAGCAGCCGCGGUAA